AAUCAACGCUGGCGGCGCGCUUAACACAUGCAAGUCGAACGAGAAAGGGGAGCAAUCCCUGAGUACAGUGGCGUACGGGUGAGUAACACGUGGAUGAUCUAUCUCUUUGUGGGGAAUAACCCUGGGAAACCGGGGAUAAUACCGCAUAAGCUCGAGAGAGGAAAGCAGCAAUGCGCUGAGAGAGGAGUCCGCGGCCGAUUAGCUAGUUGGUAGGGUAAAAGCCUACCAAGGCAUAGAUCGGUAGCCGGCCUGAGAGGGCACACGGCCACACUGGCACUGAAACACGGGCCAGACUCCUACGGGAGGCAGCAGUGGGGAAUCUUGCACGAUGGGGGCAACCCUGAUGCAGCGACGCCGCGUGAGCGAUGAAGCCCUUC
This 377-nucleotide ribosomal RNA is filed under the name uncultured bacterium. Its description in RNAcentral is "bacterial SSU rRNA". It matches the Rfam family "Bacterial small subunit ribosomal RNA", at positions 32 to 419 of the family's 1533-position model. The record is from RNAcentral.